RNAcentral lists this ribosomal RNA (506 nucleotides) under uncultured bacterium. Its description in RNAcentral is "partial 16S ribosomal RNA". It matches the Rfam family "Bacterial small subunit ribosomal RNA", at positions 29 to 523 of the family's 1533-position model. The record is from RNAcentral.
AGUGAACGCUGGCGGUAGGCCUAACACAUGCAAGUCGAACGGCAGCACAGGAGAGCUUGCUCUCUGGGUGGCGAGUGGCGGACGGGUGAGGAAUACAUCGGAAUCUACUCUGUCGUGGGGGAUAACGGAGGGAAACUUACGCUAAUACCGCAUACGACCUACGGGUGAAAGCAGUGGACAUUCGGGCCUUGCUAGAUUGAAUGAGCCGAUGUCGGAUUAGCUAGUUGGCGGGGUAAAGGCCCACCAAGGCGACGAUCCGUAGCUGGUCUGAGAGGAUGAUCAGCCACACUGGAACUGAGACACGGUCCAGACUCCUACGGGAGGCAGCAGUGGGGAAUAUUGGACAAUGGGCGCAAGCCUGAUCCAGCCAUACCGCGUGGGUGAAGAAGGCCUUCGGGUUGUAAAGCCCUUUUGUUGGGAAAGAAAUCCAGCUGGCUAAUACCCGGUUGGGAUGACGGUACCCAAAGAAUAAGCACCGGCUAACUUCGUGCCAGCCGCCGCCGUAA